CCACUCCAACAAUGAUGGCAGCUGUUUCCAUGGCUACUUCACUAACGUUCGCAUUACUUCCUUCCCAAGCCAAGUUUGAGCUGAAGCCGCCUCCAUAUCCGCUGAAUGCUUUGGAACCCCAUAUGAGCCAAGCUACCCCCGGAGUAUCAUUGGGGAAAACACCAUAAAACCUAUGUGGAGAACC
This is a long non-coding RNA of Hibiscus syriacus, 184 nucleotides long. RefSeq lists it as uncharacterized. Lineage: Eukaryota; Viridiplantae; Streptophyta; Magnoliopsida; Malvales; Malvaceae. The transcript has 3 exons. The record is from RefSeq and is a predicted model, not a curated record.